This 450-nucleotide ribosomal RNA is filed under the name uncultured bacterium. RNAcentral describes it as "partial 16S ribosomal RNA". It matches the Rfam family "Bacterial small subunit ribosomal RNA", at positions 29 to 523 of the family's 1533-position model. The record is from RNAcentral.
AACGAACGCUGGCGGCAGGCCUAACACAUGCAAGUCGAACGGAUGUAGCAAUACAUUAGUGGCGCACGGGUGCGUAACACGUGGGAAUGUACCCCAGGGUAAGGAAUAAUGUCCGGAAACGGACACUAAUACCUUAUAAUGACUUUGGUCCAAAGAUUUAUCGCCCUGGGAUCAGCCCGCGCCUGAUUAGCUAGUUGGUGAGGUAAUGGCUCACCAAGGCUACGAUCAGUAGCUGGUCUGAGAGGAUGAUCAGCCACACUGGAACUGAGACACGGUCCAGACUCCUACGGGAGGCAGCAGUGAGGAAUAUUGCACAAUGGAGAAACUCUGAUGCAGCCAUGCCGCGUGAGUGAAGAAGGCCUUCGGGUUGUAAAGCUCUUUUAGUCGUGAAGAUAAUGACGGUAGCGACAGAAAAAGCCCCGGCUAAAUUCGUGCCAGCCGCCGCGGUAA